This 473-nucleotide ribosomal RNA is filed under the name uncultured bacterium. RNAcentral describes it as "SSU rRNA". It matches the Rfam family "Bacterial small subunit ribosomal RNA", at positions 26 to 518 of the family's 1533-position model. The record is from RNAcentral.
AGGACGAACGCUGGCGGCGUGCUUAACACAUGCAAGUCGAGCGGAAAGGCCCUUCGGGGUACUCGAGCGGCGAACGGGUGAGUAACACGUGAGUAAUCUGCCCCUAGCUCUGGGAUAGCUCCGGGAAACCGGGAUUAAUACCAGAUACGACCACUUUAGACAUCUGUUGUGGUGGAAAGAAUUUCGGCUAGGGAUGAGCUCGCGGCCUAUCAGCUUGUUGGUGAGGUAACGGCUCACCAAGGCGACGACGGGUAGCCGGCCUGAGAGGGCGACCGGCCACACUGGGACUGAGACACGGCCCAGACUCCUACGGGAGGCAGCAGUGGGGAAUAUUGCGCAAUGGGCGAAAGCCUGACGCAGCGACGCCGCGUGGGGGAUGAAGGCCUUCGGGUUGUAAACCUCUUUCAGCCCUGACGAAGCGAAAGUGACGGUAGGGCAGAAGAAGCACCGGCCAACUACGCGCCAGCAGCCGC